RNAcentral lists this transfer RNA (75 nucleotides) under Caudoviricetes sp. RNAcentral describes it as "tRNA-Trp". It matches the Rfam family "tRNA". Rfam says of the family: Transfer RNA (tRNA) molecules are approximately 80 nucleotides in length. Their secondary structure includes four short double-helical elements and three loops (D, anti-codon, and T loops). The record is from RNAcentral. Lineage: Duplodnaviria; Heunggongvirae; Uroviricota; Caudoviricetes.
GCGCCGAUAGUUUAAUUGGCAAAAUAGCUGUCUCCAAAACAGCAGUUCUUUGAUCGUUGCAAAGUCGGCGUGCCA